RNAcentral lists this transfer RNA (76 nucleotides) under Elusimicrobiota bacterium. RNAcentral describes it as "Elusimicrobia bacterium (groundwater metagenome) tRNA-Glu". It matches the Rfam family "tRNA". From Rfam's summary of the family: Transfer RNA (tRNA) molecules are approximately 80 nucleotides in length. Their secondary structure includes four short double-helical elements and three loops (D, anti-codon, and T loops). Lineage: Bacteria; Pseudomonadati; Elusimicrobiota. The record is from RNAcentral.
GCCCCCUUCGUCUAGCGGUUAGGACGCUGCCCUUUCAAGGCAGAGAUCAGGGGUUCGAAUCCCCUAGGGGGCGCCA